UCCGAUAAUAUUUUUCGAUAUCCGAUCAAACGUCUGAUGUAACAUACAAAAAUUUUCAUUUCACCAACUAACCACCCCUUGACUUUAUCUUAGUCCUUAUAAUUUUAUCAGUUUACGAAGAAUUCCAACAUUUUAUACCAAACCCCCUAAAAUGCACAAACAAUUAUAGAAUCUACCAGCUCCCCACUGACAGCCACCACCGC
This 203-nucleotide long non-coding RNA is filed under the name Oryza brachyantha (malo sina). Its description in RNAcentral is "long non-coding RNA (OBRA_LNC001856)". The record is from RNAcentral. Lineage: Eukaryota; Viridiplantae; Streptophyta; Magnoliopsida; Poales; Poaceae.